UUGGAGGGCAAGUCUGGUGCCAGCAGCCGCGGUAAUUCCAGCUCCAAUAGCGUAUAUUAAAGUUGUUGCAGUUAAAAAGCUCGUAGUUGAAUUUCGGGAUUGACGUGACGGUCAUGCCUUAAGGGGUAUGAACUGUUACUGUUGAUUUCUCACCUUCUGGAGAAACUUGAUGUCCUUUAUUGGGUGUCUUGCGGAUCCAGGACCUUUACCUUGAAAAAAUUAGAGUGUUUAAAGCAGGCAUUUUUGCUCGAAUACAUUAGCAUGGAAUAAUAGAAUAGGACGGCAUGGUUCUAUUUUGUUGGUUUCUAGGAUCACCGUAAUGAUUAAUAGGGAUAGUUGGGGGCAUUAGUAUUCAAUUGUCAGAGGUGAAAUUCUUGGAUUUAUUGAAGACUAACUACUGCGAAAGCAUUUGCCAAGGAUGUUUUCAUUAAUCAAGAACGAAAGUUAGGGGAUCGAAGACGAUCAGAUACCGUCGUAGUCUUAACCAUAAACUAUGCCGACUAGGAAUCAGACGAUGUUAAUUUUUUAAUGACUCGUUCGGC
This 542-nucleotide ribosomal RNA is filed under the name uncultured Entrophosporaceae. RNAcentral describes it as "SSU rRNA". It matches the Rfam family "Eukaryotic small subunit ribosomal RNA", at positions 548 to 1084 of the family's 1831-position model. The record is from RNAcentral. Lineage: Eukaryota; Fungi; Glomeromycota; Glomeromycetes; Entrophosporales; Entrophosporaceae.